AUGGAUCCUCGCAUAUCAUUUAGCAUCUUCAGGCGUCGCACUCUCUAUCAGCCACAUAUUUAUGAUGUCUUUAGCAUUGCUUUUAGUGAAGUCCUGUGUUUUGUGACUUUUGCCACUAGAAUUGACUCAUUCUUAUGCAAGUCCACUUCUUUGGACAAUAGAAGUGCAUUCUGUUGUAUGCUCAAUUCUUUGAUGUGAACUGCUUGUUGGCAUCCAAGCAUUUUAAUUUUUUACAUUCUUGCUCAGUUACUCGCAAUUUCGUCCAAUUUCCAUCUAAAUUUCUCAUCUUGAGGUAUUAUAAUUUGCAUAUUUUCCUAUGUGUAGAUUGUUCUUUUGCUGCAUUGAGGAAGGAAAUUCUUUCCUGCUGAGGCUUCUAUUUUUUUGUUCCUGUGUAAAGCGAUUGAUGCUGGCGUGACUGCAGCAAACAAGGCCAUUCUAUUUUUUAGCAGAUGAAUAUAUGGAGAUUAGAUGCAGCGAUUAAACAUACAAGUGAUCCUUUAUGUCAGCUGCAGGCAAUCUGAGGAUUUUAAAAUGAUCAGAGUUGGGCCAUUUGGUGUAUUAUAAGAUAUUUAGAAGACUUGACCUUUGUGUUUCCAAAAGAUCUGCACUUGGAAAGUUGUGGACACUAAUUCUCUGUGCAGGUAUCAUCUUUCCAAGUCAAGCAGGUCAAGCAAGUACAGUAUCAACAGGUAAUCGGGUGGGAUGCUCAUCCUGUGAAGCUUGUGCUUUCUCUCUUGUUGAUGCCUAAAUGUCUAGAAAUGUUCCAGCAAAUGUCCCUUGGCAUCAACAAGAAAUCCAAAGAACAAACAUGCCGAAUUGAAACAGAGGACUUUGGUUAGAUUCCCACAUGCACUGUCGAUGGAGGUAGCACUACAUGGGGCCGAAGAAGAAAGAGAAAGGCGUGGAUCACACGGUUGCUGGAAACUGAUUCCUUCUUGAAAGGGUUCUUCUUGUUAAGUGGAUCUGCAGAGACAAGGAAGCCCACUGCCUCCUAUUCGAUCUUAUACACUGUUCACAUGCAUCCGCAGCACAUCUGCGUGACACAAUCUGCUCCAGCAAAUCUUGACUGCUACCCGUCACCAAGAUGUGCAUUUACUUGUUACCAAGAUGAACAGUUCGACAAGUGCAACGAUCACCAAUUCAAAUCUGUAUGUCUUUGCAAACUGUGAUCCCACUUAUUUUUGGCUGC
Musa acuminata AAA Group (dessert banana) is the source of this 1189-nucleotide long non-coding RNA. RefSeq lists it as uncharacterized. The record is from RefSeq and is a predicted model, not a curated record. The transcript is spliced from 5 exons. Lineage: Eukaryota; Viridiplantae; Streptophyta; Magnoliopsida; Zingiberales; Musaceae.